Molecule: non-coding RNA, 1639 nt
Organism: Acyrthosiphon pisum (pea aphid)
Lineage: Eukaryota; Metazoa; Arthropoda; Insecta; Hemiptera; Aphididae
Source: Rfam
AAAUCGAUCGUCUGAGCUGGGUAUAGGGGCGAAAGACUAAUCGAACCAUCUAGUAGCUGGUUCCAUCCGAAGUUUCCCUCAGGAUAGCUGGCGCCGAUGUGUCCCGCCCGUUCGCGGGCGUACGGACGCCGGUGGGACUCCGCGCUGUACGGCGCGGUAACAACACGCUCGUAACACGGAGGAUGUCUCAUACGGUAAAGCGAAUGAUUAGAGGACAUUGGGGCCGAAACGACCUCAACCUAUUCUCAAACUAUAAAUGAGUGAGAUCGCCGGCUUUACCUGGUACACCGCGUGAACCGCGUGCGAAGCCGGCGACGGAACCCUAGGCGCUUAGUGGGCCAUUUUUGGUAAGCAGAACUGGCGCUGCGGGAUGAACCGAACGCCGAGUUAAGGCGCCGAAAUCGACGCGUAUUCAGAGACCAUGAAAGGCGUUGGUUGCUGAUGACAGCAGGACGGUGGCCAUGGAAGUCGGAAUCCGCUAAGGAGUGUGUAACAACUCACCUGCCGAAGCAACUAGCUCUGAAAAUGGAUGGCGCUGGAGCGUCGUGCCUAUACUCGGCCGUCGACGGCAUAGUGGGGCCAGUCGUCGCUCGCGGCGGCCGGUCCCGGCAAGCCUCGACGAGUAGGAUGGCGCGGCGGUGUGCGUCGAAGGGCAGGUCGCGAGACCGCCUGGAGCCGCCGUCGGUGCAGAUCUUGGUGGUAGUAGCAAAUACUCGAGAGGGGCCCUCGGGGGCUGCCGUGGAGAAGGGUUUCUUGUGAACAGCCGUUGUCCAAGAGUCAGUCGAUCCUAAGCCCGGGGAGAGAUCCUCGUACCACGGGCGAAGGCGUUUUCGAAUCGCCCUUGGGGCGAGAGGGAAUCCGGUUCGUAUAUCCGGAACCCGACGCGGAACCGCUCCCUAGUGUUCGGGGCUCUUUUGUCUCGUCUGGGUAACCAGAAUGAACUCGAAGAAGCCGCCGGGGGAUCUGGGUAGAGUUCUCUUUUCUCUGUGAGCGUUGUACGUCCCUGGAAUCCUCUAGCCGGGCGAUAGGGACGCGAGCGCGAAGAGCACCGCUCGUUGCGGCGGUGUCCGUGAUCCCCACGCGGACCUUGAAAAUUCGAGAGAGGGCCACGCGGAGUCUUCGCGUCGGUUCGUACCGAUAUCCGCAGCAGGUCUCCGAGGUGAGCAGCCUCUAGCCGCAUAGAAUAAUGUAGGUAAGGGAAGUCGGCAAAACCGAUCCGUAACUUCGGGAUAAGGAUUGGCUCUGAGGAGCGUGGCUGCCGGGUUCGGGUCGUCGUAGAAGCGUAGGCGUUUUUGGCGACACCCCGGCCGUCGCCCGUGCGCCCGGUCUUCGGAACGGGAGCCUCGAGGCGGCCGCGGGCCCGUCGCCGUCCGCCGACCGUGGAACCACCGAGCUUCGGUCGCUGGCCGCGUCGCGGCCGGCCGACCGCCUUGGUGUCGGUUCGCCGUCACCGGGCGGUCCGGCCGCCGCGCCGUCGGUCGCGUAGCCGGAUCGACAGCCAUGUAACGGUCAACUCAGAACUGGCACGGACCAGGGGAAUCCGACUGUCUAAUUAAAACAAAGCAUCGCGAUGGCCCGGGACGGGUGUUGACGCGAUGUGAUUUCUGCCCAGUGCUCUGAAUGUCAACGUGAAGAAAUU